UACGAAGGGGGCUAGCGUUGCUCGGAAUCACUGGGCGUAAAGGGUGCGUAGGCGGGUCUUUAAGUCAGGGGUGAAAUCCUGGAGCUCAACCCGGGAACUGCGUCCGAGACUGGAAGGCUUGAAUCCGGGAGAGGGAUGUGGAAUUCCAGGUGUAGCGGUGAAAUGCGUAGAUAUCUGGAGGAACAUCGGUGGCGAAGGCGGCAUCCUGGACCGGUAUUGACGCUGAGGCGCGAAAGCCAGGGGAGCAAACGGG
RNAcentral lists this ribosomal RNA (253 nucleotides) under uncultured bacterium. RNAcentral describes it as "partial 16S ribosomal RNA". It matches the Rfam family "Bacterial small subunit ribosomal RNA", at positions 524 to 776 of the family's 1533-position model. The record is from RNAcentral.